This 253-nucleotide ribosomal RNA is filed under the name uncultured bacterium. Its description in RNAcentral is "partial 16S ribosomal RNA". It matches the Rfam family "Bacterial small subunit ribosomal RNA", at positions 524 to 776 of the family's 1533-position model. The record is from RNAcentral.
UACGUAGGCAGCGAGCGUUGUUCGGAAUUACUGGGCGUAAAGAGUGUGUAGGCGGCGCUUCAAGUUCGGUGUGAAAUCUCCCGGCUUAACUGGGAGGGUGCGCCGAAAACUGGAGUGCUUGAGCAUGGGAGAGGAAAGCGGAAUUCCUGGUGUAGCGGUGAAAUGCGUAGAUAUCAGGAGGAACACCUGCGGUGUAGACAGCUUUCUGGACCAUUGCUGACGCUGAGACACGAAAGCGUGGGUAGCAAACAGG